GAAUCCCGUCUUUGGCAUGGAUGACCGGGGCUUUUGUGAUGCGCUCUCGAAGAGUCGAGUUGUUUGGGAAUGCAGCUCAAAAUGGGUGGUGAACUCCAUCUAAAGCUAAAUACUGGCGAGAGACCGAUAGCGAACAAGUACCGUGAGGGAAAGAUGAAAAGCACUUUGGAAAGAGAGUGAAACAGUACGUGAAAUUGUUGAAAGGGAAACGCUUGAAGUCAGUCACGUCGACCGAGACUCAGCCUUGCCUUGGCUUGGUGUACUUCUCGGCCCGACGGGUCAGCAUCAAUUUUGCCCUUCGGAUAAUGGCGGGGGAAAGGUGGCACCUUUACGGGUGUGUUAUAGUCUCUUGUCGCAUGCGAGGGGUGGGAUUGAGGAACUCAGCGCGCACCUCAGUGUCGGGGCUUCGGCCCACGUCACGCGCUUAGGAUGUUGGCGUAAUGGCUUUAAACGACCCGUCUUGAAACACGGACCAAGGAGUCCAACACGCCCGCGAGUGUUCGGGUGGAAAACCCGUGCGCGUAAUGAAAGUGAAAGUUGGGACCUCUGUCGUGGAGGGCACCGACGCCCGGACCAGACCUUCUGUGACGGAUCUGCGGUAGAGCGUGUGUGUUGGGACCCGAAAGAUGGUGAACUAUGCCUGAAUAGGGUGAAGCCAGAGGAAACUCUGGUGGAGGCUCGUAGCGAUUCUGACGUGCAAAUCGAUCGUCAAAUUUGGGUAUAGGGGCGAAAGACUAAUCGAACCAUCUAGUAGCUGGUUCCUGCC
Molecule: ribosomal RNA, 766 nt
Filed under: uncultured Lactarius
Lineage: Eukaryota; Fungi; Basidiomycota; Agaricomycetes; Russulales; Russulaceae
Description: partial 28S ribosomal RNA
Rfam family: Eukaryotic large subunit ribosomal RNA
Source: RNAcentral